CGGCGGGGAGCAGAGAUACAGCGCGCCUUGGCCCGCUUAGCCUGGCCGGCCCGCUGCUCCCGGACCAGACCGGGGUGCCCUGGAGAGCCUUCCCACGGGGUCUCUCCAGGGAUGACGUCACCUGCCCACCAUCUAGUCUUCAAAGACCACCUGUGCCAGCCGAUGCCAGCCGAUGCCAGCCGAUGCCAAGCAGAUGCCAAGUGCCUGCUGAUCACCUGCAUCUCAUGGGGGCACGAGAGUCACCAGCUCUUGGAUCCCACCACCCUGCUCCGAGGCCUCCAGCAGCACCACCUCCCACGCCCCCCAGCAGGAUGUAGAAGAAUGAAGAGGACCAGAGAGGACCAGUUUACCUCCACUCGCCCUCAUGGCUCAAGGCUUCUGCCCAGGCCCUAGUGAGGGGGCUCUGGCCAUUAGCUCUUCACCUUUGUGCUAUGCAUUUGCUUGAUGCUCUGAGCACCUUCCUGUAAGUCUCUGCUUGCCUUAACAUGCCCGUGAACUGGAGUGUUACCUUCCCCCUCCCCUUGGGAGGCCACAGUUUGCCUCGACUUGCCUCCCGUGUGCCCUCCACAGGUCCUGAAUUGGAAGGACCCCUUUGGGAAUGUUACAGGAGGGGGACCUGGGCUGCGGGCAAUUUAGGGUUCAGGAGUGGGAGAAUGGAAUUAGCAUGAGCUUUGAGACCACAGCAGUCCUGAUGACUACCAGGGCAUGAACCUACCCCGCUGUAGUAUCUCCUUGUCUUUCUGGGUCACAAAGUGGGGUGGGAUGGGGUGUUUGUGUAAAGAGGAGCACCGUUCCAGGACGGCGUGAGGACUGAAGGAGAUCAGGUAACCUGGGGCCACAGCUGGGCAUGAAGGACUCUGGAAAUGUUUGGUGAAGGGUUUCUGCAGGGAUUUCACAGGCCAUAUGCCCUGCCCCACCCUCACCUGCUCUUGUCCGUUCCCCCCCUCCCCCCAAGCAUGCAGACCCAGACCGACUCCUUCCCAGGUAGGUCCCCUGGGGCACACUUAGUCUUAAGUCAGCCACAUAUGCAAAUGAGGACACUCAUUGUAUGGGAAAGACCCCCUGACACCCACACGAUGCCUCCAUCUGGUCUCCCACACACCUGGCCAGCCCAGUGGACUGAGACCCACUUGUGGGACGUUCAGUUUUUGGCACCAUCAGGGGUUAGAGUUGAACCCAGGAUGCCACUGUCUCUGCCCCCUUUCCCUGCCCGCUCCUGCACCCCACAGUCCCCCUCCCCAUUUGACUUGGAGCACUUUUAUUUCUUACCAGUCACCCAUUCCCACCAUGGGACAGCAGUGUGUCUGGCCCUGCCAGCCCGACUUCUCUCUCUGUGCCUGUGCAACCUUGAAUAAGUUGCCACCCCUCUUUUUUUCCCAAAUCUCUUUCCUCUCCAAACCCCAACCCACCCCCCAUAGGGGCCUCUAUAGGGGACCUUUAGAAGACCCACGAGUGACUCCAGGCUCUAUGGUGGGUGUGACAACUUUCUCUGCGCCCUCAUCUCCCCUACCCCACACCCCAUGUUCUGGCUCUCAUCGUCUUGACCCAGAGCAGCCAAGGGGCCUGUCUGUGCACCUGAAGUCCCUGGCUAGAGGAAGCCCCUUGCAGCAUCCACUCAGCAAACAUUUCUGGACUGCCAACACCCUGGCCUGCCCACCUGGCCUGGUACGUGACACAGAGACAAGAGACUCGCUCACUUGCUCGCUCUUUUUCUCCCCUCUUCAGCCAGCCAGUUUGGUCUGGACAAGACAAAAGUCCCCCCUCCCCCCAAAGGGGCUGGGCUGGAUGAACAAUGACCACCCCCCACCCAAGUUGUCUGAUUUGGAUUAUUAGGAAGGUGGAAAAGGGGGGUCUGGCUGUGGAAGGGGGAGGGGAGUUGGCAGGCCCUACAGGGCCUUGUCUCUAUUUCCUCUGUGCCCUUCACAAGAGGACCUGUGUCAUGUCGGGCGUUCGAAACCCAGGCCCCGUGAGUUUGAAAUUAGUCCCCUAGGGCUUCUGCUCUAGGGGGUAACUCCGGAGACAAACUAUGCCCCACAAUACUGGUGGCAAAGGCCCCGGUGCCCUUCUCCAUUCACGUAAACCUCACAGCAUGUCCUGCCCGCGCCUCCAAAGGGAACAGGGGUCGUCAAGUGACACAGGGGAGUCCGAGGGACUUGUGCACCCCCAUUGUCUUCUGCCUUGCAAAAGGAGACACAUCUUUGGUGCUGGCCCCACCCCUUACCUGAUUUCCCCUCCUCUUCCUUCUAAGCCCUCUGGACCCCAAACUUGGCUCCUUCUAUAGACGAUUCAGGGCCAUGGCUGCUCCCCCCCUCUUGGCUCCCUCACCGGCUUCUACAGUCUCUCUCUUUCCUUUCCAGCCCAGCUUCUUGAAAGGCCCGUCUACACUCGUGCCUGUCUACAUUCGCUGUCUCCUUCCUCACCUCCAAUUUCCUCUCCAACUCACUGCUUCUAGACUUGCUCUCCUGCAGCGAAGGCCUCUGCCAGGUUUGGGAGCUGCCCGAGUCCCCCUCGGUGGCCUGGCCCGGCCCUCGCCCACUGGCCCGGCCCUCGCCCACCUUUCUCGGCGCAGAGCAAGCACAGGUGGGUGCACCCUGCACCCGUGGUCAAAGGAGAGAAAAGGCCGGACCUGCUGUGGACCUGCUGUGGACCUGCUGUGGACCUGCUGUGGACCUGCUGUGGACCCACUGUGGACCCAUCGUGGACCCUGCCCGGACCCCUCCCGGACUCCUCCUGGACCCUGCUGACGCCCCUCCAGCCCCUGACUGCUGCUGCUGCUUCUUUGCUCUGGAUUCAGCUGAAACUUCUCUGGGGGGAGGAACCUCGGAUCCCUGACCCAGCUUUGACGCCCUCCCUGUCUGCAGAAGUACCCCCCAGGGGGACAGAACAGUGGUCUUCAACUGUGUCUGUCUCCCUCAGCCUCCACAGCCACGACCCUCCACACCUUCCCACGAGACAGGCCGCGCCCAGCACCUCGGGACCGGCACCCCUAGUGGCCUCCACCCUCUGACUGAUGGACAGCACGCCUCUGACCCCACCCCCUUGCGAGCCCUGAGACUUGGGGGACACGGAGGGUCCUCCUGUGGAAAGGGCCAGGCUCCUACCUCACAGGGCUGUUGUGAGGCAUGGGGAGGCGCCGGAUGUGGGGUCUCCACCUUGGCCUCAAUAAAUGUUUGUUUGAACUA
Suncus etruscus (white-toothed pygmy shrew) is the source of this 3182-nucleotide RNA transcript. RefSeq lists it as uncharacterized. Lineage: Eukaryota; Metazoa; Chordata; Mammalia; Eulipotyphla; Soricidae. The transcript is spliced from 7 exons. The record is from RefSeq and is a predicted model, not a curated record.